GCACAGCUCAGCUCUUGUAGUGCAGUCCUUGGUGAGGAAUGCGGCCGUACCCCUCACCUUACUGACUCACUUGCUACCAUCAUUUGAGGAACAUCGAAAAAUAUUCUUCUAAAAUGAUGUGUGAAAAGGCUUGAGGAAGUCCAUCUGGCACUUGUAUCAAAUGGGGCAACCUGAUUGUGUUCUGCUCACUUUUCUUUGGGGAGUGGCAGAGAGACAGCUUCCUCCCCCUACCCCCCAAAGGCAGUUCUAACUCUGCAGCCCUGUCUGAGUGGCUGCCCACAGGGCUCUGAUGGUGCAUUUCAUAGAACUGCUUGUGUUGGAAGGGACCUUAAAGACCUUUACUCCAGCAGGUCCACUCCAAAGCCUUAAAGCUCCUGUAAAAGAAGGAAGACCCAGGAGUAACUCACCAAACACGGCCGACAAGCACCAGCAGCCUUUAAGCGCAAUUAUCGCCGCAGCGCCUCACAUGGCGCUCAGCUGAGGCAAGGCUCAAGGCGGGAGACCCUUCCCUUCAGGAUGUUUCCCUGCGCGGCGGUGCUUCUGACGGUCGCCGGUGCGUGCGGGGCUGAGUGUGAGGCGGUGCUUUCGCGCUUCCCGCCCAGCCGGCGGCACGGGUCGGAGCUUGCUCUCAGGUGUUGGAUAUGUACCCUGCCUCAAAAGAUCUUUAGUGCUCUUCCAGCUACAGGGCAUAAGCCAUGCUGAAGAUAUCCUCCUUUUUGGCAUAAAGCCCUACUCAUGUUCUGAGGAGAGUUCUAGAGCAGUAUAUCCAUGCAGACCGCAGACCUCAUCCCUCCCCAGUUCUGGCCAACCAAAGAUCACUUCUAGAAUGACAUGAGAGGCUAGUAUCAGCAUGUGCGUGCAGGUGACUAUCUGGGAAGAAUUAUUGCAAGCAUCGUUAUAUUAUUUUGCUCAAAUGUAAUUAGCUAAGUUGCAUAAAUUUCAUCCCAAGGCCAUUAAAUGAACCACGAUGCUUCCACAAAUGUGUUAGACAUUUAGUGAGCUGCUCAAUGACACCUAGAAAAUUCUCAGGAUUUUUUUCUGUUAAUCUGUAAACAAAAUCAUUUAGUAUUGUCAGUCUGUAUUUAUCAAAAAGGGGGGAAAAAAACAGGAAAAAUAGCUCUCAUAUAUUGCCCUACUUAUGCAAAUGGUGCAUCUGGUACUUUUUGAAGUAUUGCCAGUGGUGAUUUCAAAACAGGCUUAAACACCUGCAGUCAACUGUUGGCAAGAUCAGUCAAGACCAUGUCCUGCCAUGGUUCAAUCUUUAUGGCAUUUUGGGAGAAAGCAAGCAAACACCCCACCUAUACA
Molecule: long non-coding RNA, 1305 nt
Organism: Numida meleagris (helmeted guineafowl)
Lineage: Eukaryota; Metazoa; Chordata; Aves; Galliformes; Numididae
Exons: 3
Source: RefSeq, a predicted model, not a curated record